Molecule: long non-coding RNA, 211 nt
Filed under: Elaeis guineensis (African oil palm)
Lineage: Eukaryota; Viridiplantae; Streptophyta; Magnoliopsida; Arecales; Arecaceae
Description: long non-coding RNA (EGUI_LNC044835)
Source: RNAcentral
CACACCCUCCCCCUCUACCAUGCCCUUACUUUGGUCUCCUGCCUCGAACACCCCCCCUCACCAUCCCUAGUGGAGAUAUAAUGAUGGAGUGGGAUGAGGCACCUAACCCCCUCCCACUGUAGUAACAACAAGGGGCGGUGGUGUUAAACUUGGUGGCUUGGUGCCACUCACUGCGAUUGGUGUUGAGUUCUAAUAUCAUGCCCCCCACCCA